RNAcentral lists this transfer RNA (72 nucleotides) under Homo sapiens (human). RNAcentral describes it as "tRNA-Glu (TTC) 5-1 (TRE-TTC5-1)". It matches the Rfam family "tRNA". From Rfam's summary of the family: Transfer RNA (tRNA) molecules are approximately 80 nucleotides in length. Lineage: Eukaryota; Metazoa; Chordata; Mammalia; Primates; Hominidae. The record is from Rfam by way of RNAcentral.
GCGUUGGUGGUGUAGUGGUGAGCACAGCUGCCUUUCAAGCAGUUAACGCGGGUUCGAUUCCCGGGUAACGAA